RNAcentral lists this long non-coding RNA (221 nucleotides) under Mytilus galloprovincialis (Mediterranean mussel). The record is from RNAcentral. Lineage: Eukaryota; Metazoa; Mollusca; Bivalvia; Mytilida; Mytilidae.
AAUACGUCAAUGAUGAAGAAAAGGAGAUGUGGUAAAUACGUCCAUGAAAGGACAAUCAAAUGGUUAGACACCUUGCCCAUUAUUCUGUCAUAUUUUUUUUGAAACUAUCGACUUUUCUAACUUGCAUUGUUUUGUUAGUUUACUGUUGUUUUUUGCAAUAUUUUCUUUUUCUUUUUAUGCUCCAAUAUUCAACUAAUUUCUAUAUUACUAAUGAUUAUUGC